Mycena rosella is the source of this 96-nucleotide non-coding RNA. NCBI's taxonomy places the organism in Eukaryota, Fungi, Basidiomycota, Agaricomycetes, Agaricales, Mycenaceae. The record is from the annotation of a GenBank genome assembly.
GCGGGUGUGGUGUACGGAACACAGCUACCUUGAUUGCUCGCGGAAUCACAGUAGACAAUUGAGCAGCAGACCCGGGUUCGACCCCCGGCGCCCACG